Long non-coding RNA from Equus caballus (horse), 8414 nucleotides. Lineage: Eukaryota; Metazoa; Chordata; Mammalia; Perissodactyla; Equidae. The record is from Ensembl.
CCAAAUUCAGGGACACAGAGCAGGGCACUGCAACCACAGCAGGGACACUGCAGCCAGCUGAAGAAGCACAGCAGGUGCACUGCAAUGUCUGCAGGAUCAUUGCAUCUACCUUCAUGAUCACUGAAUCCUCCAACACAUCAUAAGGCAUCCACCUUGUGGGACACUGCAGCCACUGAAUUGGCACUGCAUACACGUUCAGGGACACUGCAGUUGGCUCUGCCACCACUGCAGCAACACUGCAUCCUGCUGAAUUGGGACUGCAGGCGCACUGCAAUCACCGCAGCCUCACUGCAUCUACCUUCAUGGGCACUGGAUCCUCUGUCACAGCAUAGUGCAUCCACAUUGUGGGACACUGCAUGCACUGCAUGGACACUGCAUCCACAUUCCAGGAAACUGUAGGGGACACUGCCACCACUGCAUGUUCACCCCAUCCACCUUCAUGUGCAUUGCAUCCUCCGACAAAACAUACUGCUUCCACCUUGUGAGACACUGCAUCCACUGCAUGACCCCUGCAUCCACAUUCCAGGACAAAGCCAGGGGCAGUGAAACCAAUGCAGGGACAUUGCAUCCAAAUUCAUGAGAACUGCGUUAUCCUUCAUAACAUACUGCAACAACCUUGUGUGACACUGCAUCCACUGCUUGAGCACUGGAUCCACAUUCCAGGACAAUGCAGGGGUCACUGCAACCACUGCAGCAACACUGCAUUCUGCUGAAUUGUCACUGCAGGUGCACUGCCAUCACAGCAGGAUCAGUGCAUUCACCUUCAUCGGCACUGCAUACUACAACACACCACAAUGCCUCCACAUUGUGGGAAACUGCAUCCACUGCAUGAGCACUGCAUCCACAUUACAGGACAACACAGGGGGCAUCACCUCCACUGCAGGGACAAUGCAUCCAGCUGAAGUGGCACUGAAGGCAUACUGCAAUCACUUCCUGCUCACUGCAUUCAACUCUUGUGCACUGCAUCCUCUGUCACAACAUACGCCAACCAACAUUUGGUAGUAUGCAUCCAUUGCAUUGGCACUGCAUCCACAUCCAGGGACACAGAACUGGGCACUGCCAUCACUGCAGGGACACUGCAGCCAGCUGAAUUGGCACUACAGGUGCACUGCAAUGACUGCAGGAUCACUGCAUCCUACUCCAUUAUCACUGAAUCCUCCAAUAUAUCAAAAGGCAUCCACCAGGAGGGACACGGCAUUCACUCCAUGAGCACUACAUCCACAGGUAAAGUGCAGGGGACACAGCAACCACUGCAGGAUCACUGCAUCCACCUUUAUUGGCACUGCAUCCUCCGUCAAAACAUACUGCAUGCACAUUGUGGGACACUGCAUCCACUGCCUUGGCACUUCAUCCACGUCUCGGACAAUGCAGUGCACAUUGCAACCACUAUGGGGACACUGCAUACUUCGGAAGUCACACUGCAGGUGCACAGCAUUCAGCACAGGCUCACUGCAUCCAUCUUCGUGGGCACUGCAUCUUCCAUCACAACAUACGACAACCACCUUGUGGAACACUGCAACUACUGCCUGGACACUGCAUCCACAUUCAGGGACACAGUAUGGGACACUGCAACCACUGCAGGAACACUGCAGCAAGCUGAUGUGUCACUUCAUGUGCACUGCAAUGACUGCAGGAUCACUGCAUCCUCCUUCAUGAUCACUCAACCCUCCAUUACAACAUAAGGCAUCCACCUUGUGGGACACUGCAUCCACUGCAUGGGCACUGCAUCCACAUUCGGGGAACGUGAAGGGGCACUGCAACUAGUGCAGGAUCACAGCAUCCAUCUUCAUGGGCACUGCAUCCUCCAUGACAACAUACAUCAUCACUGCAUGUGCACUCAAUUCACAUUCAGGGACACUCCAUCCAGAUGAAUUGACACUGCAGGUGCACUGCAAUGAAUGCAGGAUCACUGCAUCCUCCUUCAUGGGUACUUCAUCCUACUACACAACAUACUGCAUUCACCUAGGGUCACACUGCAGAGGCUGAAUGGGCCCUGCAACCACAUUCAGAGACACUGCAGCAGGCUCUGCAACCACUGCAGCAACACUGCAUUCAGCUGAAGUGGCACUGCUUCAUCCGUCACAACAUACUGCAUGCAAAUUGUGGGACACUGAUCCACUGUAUGGGCACUGCAUCCACGUUCAGGCACACUGCAGUGGGCUCUGCAACCACUGCAGCAACACUGCAUCCAGCUGAAGUGGCACUGCAGGCGCACUGCAAUCACUGCAGGCUCACUGCAUCCACCUUCAUGGGCACUGCAUCCUCCGUCAGAUCAUACUGCAUCUACCUUCAUUGACACGGCAGCCAUUGCAUGGGCACUGCAGCCACGUUCAGUUACAGGUCAACAGGCACUGCAACCACUGCAGGGACUCUGGAUCCAGCUGCAAUGGCACUGCAUGUGCACUGCAAUCACUGCAGGCUCACUGCAUCCACGUUCAUGGGCACUGCAUCCUCCAUCACAACAUACUGCAUCCGACUUGUGGGACACAGCAUGAACUGCAUGGCCACCGCAUCCACAUUUAGGGAAUCUGUAGGGAGCACUGCACCCACUGUAGAUUCAAUGCAUCCACCUUCAUUGGCACUGCAUCCUCUGUUAAAACAUAAGCAUCCACCUUGUGAGAAACUGCGUCCACCGCAUGACCAUUGCUUCCACAUUCCAGGACAAUGAUGGGGGCACUGCAACCACUGCAGAGACACUGCAUCCACCUUCAUGGACACUGCAUCCUCCGUUAAAACGUACAGCAUAAACCUUUAGAUACACUGCAUCCUCUGCAUGGGCACUGCAUUCACCUUCAGGGAAACAGAGGGUGGCACUUCAAACAAUGCAGGAUUACUGCAUCUACUGCAUGAUCACUGCAUCCACUGCAUGAUCACUGCAUCCACAUUCAGGGACACAGCAGGGUGCACUGCAACCACUGCAGGGACACUGCAUACAGAUGAAGCAGCACUGCAGUUGAACUGCAAUGACUGCAGGAUCACUGCAUCCUUCCUUCAUCAUCACUGAAUCCUCCAUCACAACAUACUGCAUGCACCUUGUGGGACACUGCAUCCAAUGCGUGGGCAGUGCAUCCACAUUCUCAGACAAUGCAGUGUGCACUGCAACCAUGGCAGGUACACUACAUACAGCUGAAAUCUCACUGCAGGUGCACUGCAUUCAGCACAGGCUCACUGCAUCCAACUUCAUGGGCACUGCAUCUUUCAUCACAACAUACGACAUCCACCUUGUGGGACACUUCAACUACCGCAUGGGCACUCCAUCCACAUUCAGGGAAACUUCGGGGGCACUGCAACCACUGCAGCAUCACUGCCUCCACAUUCAUUGACCCUGCAUCCUCCAUCACAACACACUGUAUCCAGCUUGUGGGACACUGCAUCCACUGCACGACUACUGCAUCCACAUUCCCGGACAACCCAGUGGGCACUGCAAGCAAUGCAGGAACACUGCAUCCACCGCCAUCAGAACUGCAUCAUCCCUCCUAACAUACUGUAUCCACCUUGUGGGACUCUGCAACCACUGCUUGGGCACUGCAUCCAUGUCUCGGACAAUGCAGUCGGCACUGCAUCCACUAUGGGGACACUGCAUACAGUGGAAGUCACAUUGCAGGCACAAGGCAUUCACCACAGGAUCACUGCAUCCAUCUUCGUGGGCAAUGCAUCUCCCAUCAAAACAUACCACAUCCACCUUGUGGGACACUGCAACUACUGCAUGGGCACUGCAUUCACAUUCAGUGGCACAGUACGGGGCACUGCAACGAGGUGAUGUGGCACUGCAUGUGCACUGCAAUGACUGCAGGAUCACUGCAUCCUCCUUCAUGAUCACUCAAUCCUCCAUUACAACAUAAGGCAUCCACCUUGUGGGACACUGCAUCCACUGCAUGGGCACUGCAUCCACAUUCAUGGAACCUGAAGGUUGCACUGCAACAAGUGCAGGAUCACGACAUACACCUUCUUGGGCACUGCAUCCUCCAUGACAACAUACAUCAUCACUGCAUGAGCACUGAAUCCACAUUCAGAGACACUGCAUCCAGAUGAAUUCACACAGCAGGUGCACUGCAAUGAAUGCAGAAUCACUGCAUCCUCCUUCAUGGGGACUGCAUCCUACUUCACAACAUACUGCAUCCACCUUGGGUCACACUGCAGAGGCUGCAUGCGCCCUGCAUCCACAUUCAAGACACUGCAGUGGGCUCUGCAACCACUGCAGCAACACUGCAUUCAGCUGAACUGGCACUGCAGGUGCACUGCAAUCACUGAAUAUUCAGUGCAUCCACUGCUUGUUCACUGCAUCCACAUUCAGGGACACUGCAGUGUGCACGGAAACUACUGCAGGAUCACUGCAUCCACCUUCAUGGGCACUGCAUCCUCUGUCACAACACACUGCAUCCUAAUUGUGUGGCACUGCCUACACUGCCUGGCAAUGCAUCCACAUUCCCAGACAAUGCAGGCAGCAAUGCAAUCACAGCAGGGACACUGUAUGGAGCUGAAGUGGCACUGCAGGUGCACCGCAAUCACUUAAUUUUCACUGCAUCCACAUUCAGGGACAAUGCAGUGUGCACGGAAACCACUGCAGGAUCACCGCAUCCACCUUCAUGGGCACUGCAUCCUCUGUCACAAUAUAGUGCAUCCAACUUGUGUGACACUGCAUCCACUGCAUGGGCACUGAAUACACAUGCAGGGAACCUGAAGCGGGCACUGCAACAACUGCAGUAUCACCGCAUCCACCUUCAUGUGUGAAGCAUCCUCCAUUACAACAGACUGCAUCUGCCUUGUGGAACACUGCAUCCACUGCAUGGGCACUGCAUCCAGAAUCAGGAAAACAGAAGGGCGCAUGACAACCAGUGCAGGAACACUGCAUGCACCUUCAUGGGAACUGCAUCCUUCAUCACAACAUACUGCAUCUACCUUCAGGGACACUGCAGCCAUUGCGUGGGCACUGCAGAAAUGAUCAGGCACAGGGCAACAGGCACUUCAACCACUGCAGAGACUCUGGAUCCAGCUGAAGAGGCACUGCAGGCACACUGCAAUCACUGCAGGAUCACUGCAUCUGACUUCAUGGGCACUGCAUCCUCCAUCACAACAUACUUCAUCACUGCAUGAGCACUGCAUCCAAAUUCAGGGACAGUGCAAGUUGCACUGCAGCGACUGCAGGGACAAUACAUCCAGUGAAGUGGCGCUGCAUGCGCACUGCACCCACUGCAGGAUCACUGCAUCUGCCUUCAUGGUCACUGAAUCCUCCAUCACAACAUACAUCAUCACUGCAUGAGCACUCAAUCCACAUUCAGGGACACUGCAUCCAGAUGAAUUGACACUGCAGGUGCACUGCAAUGGAUGCAGGAUCACUGCAUCCUCCUUCAUGGGGACUGCAUCCUAAUUCACAACAUACUGCAUCCACCUUGCGUCAACUGCAGAGGCUGCAUGGGCCCUGCGUCCACAUUCAGAGACACUGCAGUGGGCUCUGCAACCACUGCAGCAACACUGCAUUCAGCUGAACUGGCACUGCAGGUGCACUACAAUCACUAUUCAGUGCGUUUACUGCUUGUUCACUGCAUCCACAUUCAGGGACAUGGCAGUUUGCACGGAAACCACUGCAGGAUCACUGCAUCCACCUUCAUGGGCACUGCAUCCUCUGUCACAACAUACUGCAUCCAACAUGUGUGACACUGCAUACACUGCUUGGGCACUGCAUCUGCAUUCCCGGAUAAUGCAGGCAGCACUGCAACCACUGCAGGGACACUGUAUACAGUUGAAGUGGCACUUCAGGCGCACUGCCAUCACUGCAGUCUCUCUGCAUUCACAAUCAUGAGCCCUGCAUCCUCCAUCACAACAUAUUGCAUCCAGCUUGUGCGACACUGCAUCCACUUUAUGGGCACUGCAUCCACAUUCAGUGAACCUGAAGGGGGCACUGCAACAACUGCAGGAUCACCUCAUCCACCUUCAUGGGGAAUGCAUCAUCCAGCAUAACAUACGAAAUCUACCUUCAGUGACACUGCAGCCAUUGUAUGGGCCCUGCAUCCACAUUCAUGGAUCCUGAAGGGGGCACUGCAACCACUGCAGGAUCACUGCAUCCACCUUCAGGGGCACUGCAUCCUCUGUAACAACAUACUUCAUUGAACUUGUGUGACACUGCAUCCACUGCUUGGGCACUGCAUCAGCAUGUCUGGACAAUGCAGGCAGCACUGCAACCACUGCAGGGACACAGUAUACAGUUGAAGUGGCACUGCAGGCGCACUGCAUUCACUGCAGUCUCACUGCAUUCACAGUCGUGGGCACUGCAUCUUCCGUCACAACAUACUGCAUCCACAUUGUGUGACACUGCAUCCACUGCAUGGGCACUGCAUCCACAUUCAGGGAACCUGAAGGGGACACUGCAACAACUGCAGGAUCCCCGCAUCCACCUUCAUGGGCACUGCAUCCUCCACUACAGCAUACUGCAUCUGACUGGUGGGACGCUAAUCCACUGCAUGGGCACUGUAUCCACAAUCAGGGACACAGAAUGGGGCACGACAGCCCGUGCAUUAACACUGCAUGCACCUGCUUGGGCAAUGCAUCAUCCGGCCUAACAUACUGCAUCCACCUUGUGGGGCACUGAAUCCACUGCAAGGGCAUGGCGUUCUCAUUCAGGGACCCUGCAGGGUUCACUUCAACCACUGCAGGAUAACUGGGUCCACCUUCGUGGGCACUGCAUCCUCCAUCACAACAUACUGCAUCUACCUUCAGUGACACUGCAGCCAUUUCAUGGGUACUGCCUCCACAUUCAGGCACAGGGCAACAGGCACUGCAACCACUGCACGGACUCUGGAUCCAGCUGAAGUGUCACUGCAGGUGCACUGCAAUCUCUGCAGGAUCACUGCAUCUGCCUUCACGGGCACUGCAUCCUUCAUCACAACAUACUUCCUCACUGCAUGAGCACUGAAUGCACAUACAUGGAGAGUGCAGGUUGCACUGCAGCGACUGCAGGGACACUGCAUCCAGCUUAAGUGGCACUGCAUGUGCACUGCAGCCACUGCAGGAUCACUUCAUCCACAUUCAUGGGCACUGCAUCCUCAGUCACAACAUACCACAUCCAUCUUUUGGUACACUGCAUCCACUGCAAGGGCACUGCAUUCGUAUUUGGAGAGACAGAAGGCGGCAUUGCAACCACUGCAGGCACACUGCAGCCAGAUGAAGUGGCACUGCAGGUGCACUGCAAUCACUGCAGAAUCUCUGCACCCUCCAUCAUGGGCAAUGCAUCAUCCGUCAUAACAUACUGCAUACAACUUGUGGGGCACUGAAUCCACUGCAAGGGCACGGAAUUCUCAUUCAGGGAUGCUGCAGGGGACACUGCAACCACUGCAGGAUCACUGCAUGCACCUUCAUGGGCACUGCUUCCUCCAAUACAACAUACUGCAUCUAACUUCUGUGAAACUGCAGCCAUUGCAUGUGCACUGCAUCCACGUUUUGGGAAACUGCAGCAGGCACUGCAACCACUGCAGGGACACUGGAUCCACAAGAAGUGGCACAGCAGAUGCACUGCAAUCACUGCAGGAUCACUGCAUCUGCCUUCAUGGGCACUGCAUCCUCCAUGACAACAUACAUCAUCACUGAAUGAGCAGUGAAUCCACAUUCAGCGACACUGCCUCCAGAUGAAUUGACACUGCAGGUGCACUGGAAUGAAUGCAGGAUCACUGCAUCCUCCUUCAUGGGUACUGCAUCCUACUUCACAACAUACUGCAUCCAACUUGGGUCACACUGCAGAGGCUGCAUGGGCCCUGCAUCCACAUUUACAGAAACGGCAGUGGGCUCUGCAACCACGGCAGCAACACUGCAUUCAGCUGAGGUGGCACUGCAGGUGCACUGCAAUCACUGAAUAUUCAGUGCAUCCACUGCUUGUACACUGCAUCCACAUUCAGGGACAUGGCAGUGUGCACAGAAACCACUGCAGGAUCACUGCAUCCACCUUCAUGACCACUGCAUCCUCUGUCACAACAUACUGCAUCCAACAUGUGUGGCACUGCAUACACUGCCUGGGCACUGCAUCCACAUUCCCGGACAAUGCAGGCAGCACUGCAAUCACAGCAGGGACACUGUAUGCAGCUGAAGUGGCACUGCAGUUGCACUGCAAUCACAGAAUGUUCACAGCAUCCAACUAAUGUUCACUGCAUCCACAUUCAGGGACACUACAGUGUGUACGGAAACCACUGCAGGAUAACUGCAUCCACCUUCAUGGUCACUGCAUCCUCUGUAAAAACAUACUUCAUCCAACUUGUGUGACACUGCAUACUCUGCCUGGGCAGUGCAUCCGCAUUCCCAGACAAUGCAGGCAGCACUGCAACUACUGCAGGGGCACUGUAUGCAGUUGAAGUGGCACUGCAGGUGCACCACAAUCACUGAAUGUUCACUACAUCCACUUCAUGUUCACUGCAUCCACUUCCUGUUCA